This 230-nucleotide ribosomal RNA is filed under the name uncultured bacterium. RNAcentral's name for it is "partial 16S ribosomal RNA". It matches the Rfam family "Bacterial small subunit ribosomal RNA", at positions 562 to 791 of the family's 1533-position model. The record is from RNAcentral.
AAAGCGCGCGUAGGUGGUUUGUUAAGUUGGAUGUGAAAUCCCCGGGCUCAACCUGGGAACUGCAUUCAAAACUGACUGACUAGAGUAUGGUAGAGGGUGGUGGAAUUUCCUGUGUAGCGGUGAAAUGCGUAGAUAUAGGAAGGAACACCAGUGGCGAAGGCGACCACCUGGACUAAUACUGACACUGAGGUGCGAAAGCGUGGGGAGCAAACAGGAUUAGAUACCCGUGU